CCAAGGAUAUAUCAUAUAUUAUUUGCCCAGUUUCUUAAUACAGCGACCCAGAAAUUCUUGGUGUAAUGGCUGCAACGAGUGACCAAGAAAUUGAUUCUCUUCUCUCUAGUUUCGAUCAGAUAUACGAGGUGAUUUCUCGCCUAAUUUUCCAUUCGCUGUUUGUUUGCUGAAAAAAAUGACGGGAAAGCGAAAAGAAAGUGAAGCGUUAUUUUUUGGUCUCUUAAACAAACUGAGAAGCUUAGGUUUAACGUCAUUCGAUUAGAACCGAGAUGGAGAGAGAUAUGACAUAAUCUUUCGAAGGAAUCUGUUGAAUGGCGUUUCAUAACUUUAAGAAAUUCGACUCGAUUAAAUUUUGAACAAACUAUUAGCGGACUUCAUUUUUCUCGUUGACCAAACGGGGGUUUUCGCUAUUAGUUUCGUAGGGGAAAAAUUAAACUAAAAUAAGGUUUCACAGGAUUUCAAGAGUGGAAUAACGGAAAUCCAAUCGCUGAGAUCAAAUUGGAGUGCAGAAGUCAAGAAGAGAGAGGCUCUUGAAGUCACUUGCCGAAGUUUGAAACAUGAAAAUGAGCGGCUGACAAAACUGUACACAGAAUCUUUAGAUAAUAUAGCUGAUCAGGUGUGCAAUUUUCGUUACACAAGGUAAACUUGGGUACUGCUAUUCUGAUUUUCCUUUGUUCUGUUGCUCAAUUUUCGUUGAUUUUAUGAGAUACAGCUUGAGUGUCGGAUCAAAUGUCAAAGCCUGAAGGAGGAGUUGAAACGACUCAGUGAUGAGAAUCUCAAAAAAGAAGAGGUAAGUUAAUUUCUUACUUUAUUUUCCAUUACAAUAAAGUGGUGAAAUAGUUAGUUAUUAUUUCUAGUUUGAUAUUUUCCUAUAGACACUGGAGUAAUUUCAAGGGACAUAUUAAGUUCCUAGAUUGAUUUAUUGUUGAAGAAUCUGAAUUUCAAGUAACUGUGUAUACACUUUUGCACUUUAAAUGUGGGUAUCUAGAGAAAUUAUAUUAUUUCAUGUAGGGCAGCUUACAUGUAAUGACAAACUAAUACUGAAUAAACAUAUAUAUAUAUACAGUGGGUCUCAAAAAAUUAUAACUACCAGUAAUUAUUUUUUUUUUUAAAUUUUCAACUCAACUCACAAGGUGCGACAAAAUUUGUACGCUGUUUAUCACAUACCGCAACACUUCUCCUUUAUCCGGGCUUUAUACCGACUAAGCGCAAAUUACUUAGGCGGAGUUACACAUACACACACAUGUAUAUAUAUAAUUUUGGCAAUUAAGGUUAUAGCGCCUUACUUCAAAAAGGGCCUCGCUUCGCCUAUCGCCUAGGGCCAUAAGGUGCUCUGUCGCCAUGUUUCACCGUAUCUUCAUGGUGCAUUAUCAUUGUAGGCUCUAUCAAUACACCUUGUCAAAUUCUUUAUUCUACAUUAAAUGUAAUGUCAAAUGUGAAACGCCAAAAAUGAAAACUUUGAAAUAUUAGCUAGGCUUGGGGUAUCUAGAUGAUCUACGAUAGGAAGUCAAAAGUUUGACUUGAUGAGCCUCAUGGCUUUUGAGGUUGUGGCUGUCACCCAAAAGCUGUUGGACAUCUUUGCUUGGUAAGGACAAUUUGGCAGGGAUAAACUUUCGCCAAGGCUGAAAAGAUUUAUUGUUGCAUUAUGUAAUAUUUGAAUGGAGUAAUUUAAUUAUGAAGUUUGUUCUCAACUCAGUUUUCUACAAUUUGAGGCACAUAAACAUUCUUUCAGAAUGAUGUUUCCUAUUCUAAUUGUAAUUACUACAUAGAAUACUGCUCUUCAAAAAACUCAUUAUUUAUUGUAAUUGUGUUCCUGUUCAGGUGGUUUUAAAUAGAAGGAAAGA
RNAcentral lists this unclassified non-coding RNA (1844 nucleotides) under Hevea brasiliensis (rubber tree). The record is from RNAcentral. Lineage: Eukaryota; Viridiplantae; Streptophyta; Magnoliopsida; Malpighiales; Euphorbiaceae.